This is a long non-coding RNA of Sebastes umbrosus (honeycomb rockfish), 1385 nucleotides long. RefSeq lists it as uncharacterized. Lineage: Eukaryota; Metazoa; Chordata; Actinopteri; Perciformes; Sebastidae. The transcript is spliced from 3 exons. The record is from RefSeq and is a predicted model, not a curated record.
GAUGAUGAGGAGUCAGUUUUUACAGUCUGACGUCUUUGAACUGAAAGCAGCUUCAGAUAAAAUUAGAUUUUAUUAUUUUUAUUAUUAUAAAGCAGUUCUGUCUUUUUAUUUCUCCGUCUGUUCGUUCAGAGUUCCGGUUUGACAGAUUGUUAUUCAGUCAGAACAUCAAAGAUCUGCUGGGAAGUUUUCAGCCUGUUGAUGGUGAAUCUGACUGGUUUCCUGAUGUUAACCACGCUGGGUCUCGUGGUUUCAGGUGUUGGUUUCAGGUGUGUUCUGAUUGACUGGGUGUCUUGUUGUGUGGUUCAGUGGGUGUGAUGGUGAAGGUCAGGUCAUGUUUCUGUGGUUCAGAACAAAUGAAAUCACUGAUCUGUGGUCAGGAUCCACAUCCAGAGCUGUCAUCAACCUCACUGAGAGGUUUCCAUCAGAAAAGACUGUUGAACUUUCCGUUGAACCUUUCUUUAAGUUCACUUCAGGGUUUCUGUCCAUCGUCUUUGAGACUAAUUAAUGAAAUAAAUUCUAUUUACUCUUAAAAUUCCUCCAACUUUUUCUAGAUUUUCUUUAAUGUUUCUGUAAACUUUCUUAAAGACGUAUCUAGAUGUUCUCCUCAGUUCUUUUAAAGUACUUUGAGAGUUCUUUUGAUGGUUUUGUUGAGAUCGGAGGUGUGAAGCGUCAGGAUGACCUGAAGUGACCUCUGGAGGAGAACUGAGAGGAAAAAUAGGAAGAAGCCGUCGGAGAGAGGAUGUGAUUCAGCGGGUGGAGGCUGAAGUUGUCAGAAACGGAGACAAAAUCCAACGUUACAUGUAGAAACAGUUUGUGGUUUUCAGGGGAAUUAUUCAGUAUGCAGGAACUAUUUCUCUGUAAACAACCAGUUAAUCCAGACGGGAUCUGAACGAGACAGAAUGUGUUGAACUCUCCCUUUAAACAGCUUGAUGUUACUGAUUUCUACACAUAUACAGAAAUAUAUUUAUUAAUAUAAAGAGCCAACAUUCACACAAAAACACACAGAUACACAACCACAAAGGGUUCAUUCAUCCCCUGAGACGAGACGAACCAACAGCAGCUAAACCGGCAGCGGUGAUGUGAACACAAAGACUUUAUAUAACAGAGAGAAGAAGAGAGAGAGGCCGUCUGCCUUGUUACUCCUCAGGUUAUAUUAUUACAUGAUUGUUAAUCCACUAAAUCAGACUCAACAUCUGCAGUACAUGUUUCUAUCCUCCUGUUUUUAUGCAUUUCUGUGACUUUCUUUUGGACAUUUUUCUGACAUAUUUCAGACUUUUUUUUCAGGUCUGCCUUAUUACUCCUCAGGUUUUAUUUUUACAUGAUAAAAAUAAACUGAUGUUGUUAAUCCACUAAAUCAGACUCAACAUCUGCAGUAUGUGUUUCCA